CAAACGAUUCCUCAUGGUCCUCUGGAAGAUCUCCUGCACUUCAUCUUCGUCCUUGUUGACGUUGAAAUGGCUCCGGCUGUACCUGUGUCGAUGCUGAAGAACACCAAGCAGAAGUCGGUGGAGUCAGGAUGCUGCUGCAGCAGGUGGUGCGUGUUGAUGUCCUCCAUCUGCCUCACACCCUUCAUGUUCUGCUCGUGCAUCUCCAGGCUCACAGAUGGCACCUGGUCUAUUCUCCUGCAGGGGGGAAAAGGCCUGUCAGUGGGGAUCCGGUGAGCGUUUGCUCACCCCAUCGAGGACGCCGCAGUGUGAUCGUCUGACAUGCCGGCCGUGAUGUCGGGCAGGUCGUCGACAAACUUCUUCUUGAAGUCGAUGAACGCCGUUUCGUUGCGGAC
This is a long non-coding RNA of Pungitius pungitius (ninespine stickleback), 392 nucleotides long. RefSeq lists it as uncharacterized. The transcript is spliced from 3 exons. Lineage: Eukaryota; Metazoa; Chordata; Actinopteri; Perciformes; Gasterosteidae. The record is from RefSeq and is a predicted model, not a curated record.